RNAcentral lists this long non-coding RNA (822 nucleotides) under Chinchilla lanigera (long-tailed chinchilla). Its description in RNAcentral is "lncRNA (ENSCLAG00000026982.1)". The record is from RNAcentral. Lineage: Eukaryota; Metazoa; Chordata; Mammalia; Rodentia; Chinchillidae.
CUGGGGAUGAAAUAUUCCUGGUGAUACAAAAUUGCAAACCACAGCUCAGCUAAUGGGGAGACCUCCUCCUUGGAUAAGAAUCAGGUUGUAAUUUUAAAAUGCUGAUUAGUGCACACACAGGGCACGAAGAGGGGAAGUUGGAAACGAGACAUCCUGUCUGAUGCAACCCUCCUGUCACCUGGUAUGGUUGCCCUUGACACUCAACCAUCUAUAAUUAGAGAAACUACUAGGGUCAGAAUGGGACCUCAGAAAGAGCUGCACCAUAAUGGACCGGAUGAUAGUGGCACUUGGACAGAGAGCACAGGAAGAAGGGCCUGGGACGUGGAGGUGGGGACCGGGAGGGUGACGUGUCACGACCUGCAGAAGAUGAAGGGGUCAGCCCUGCAGUUCUAAGGUGGGAGGGGAGGGGUUGGGUCAUUUCUGGAAGAGAUGAUUUGACCGGACUGGCAAGCCGGAAGCCCCAGGGCAGAUGUAUGAUGGGCGAGGGGCACAAUGGAGCUUGUUUUGUUUGCUUGCACAGCCUGUAAGAUCAGCAUAGUUUGUGUGAGACACCAAGACUGCAGCAAAGGAGCGCUCGCAGUUAGGGGCCCUCGCCCCCAGAUGGAACCGUUCUCCGGGACUUCCUGAUAGAACAUGCAGGGGCUAGCAACAAAAACCAACAACCACCCUACCGUCCCCCAGCUGAGAAGUAAGAGGAACAGUGGGAUUUCAUGAAAUGGCGACCUGCUGUCUUUACCCUCCGCCUUUCCUCUCCUCUGUCUUUUUUUUUUUUUUUUCCCUCCACAAUGUUCUUCUAAGACAACAAGGAAAAUUACAGGUUCU